Molecule: long non-coding RNA, 1203 nt
Filed under: Homo sapiens (human)
Lineage: Eukaryota; Metazoa; Chordata; Mammalia; Primates; Hominidae
Description: long non-coding RNA NONHSAT159279.1
Source: RNAcentral
AGACCAACCUGGGCAACAUGGUGAAACUAAAAAUACAAAAAGUAGCUGGGCACGGUGGCGUGCGCCUGUAAUCCCAGCUAGUUGGGAGGCUAAGGCAGGAGAAUUGCUUGAACCUGCGAGGCAGAGGUUGCAGUGAGCCGAGAUUGUACCACUGCACUCCUGCCUGGGCGACAGAGCGAGAACCUGUCUCAAGAAAAAAAAAAGACUGCAUAGUUUUUGAUCAUAUGGAUGGCUCAUAAUUGACUUAGACAAUCCUCUUUUGUUAGAAAGUUAGAUUUGUUGCAAUAAACACCUUUGUACUUAAAUCUUCUGUCACAUCUCUGAUAUUUCCUCUUCAUCCUCCUUUGCCCUCUUUCUUCCCUCAUGUGGCAUUCUGGGAGUAUCUUGGGGGUGGUGUGUGGAGGUUCCCUGGGUGACCCCUGGAGUCCUUCUGUAGACAGUCAUCACCACCAUGACCACCUUGAAGAAGAACCUGGCUGACGAGGAUGCUGUGUCUUGCCUGGUGCUGGGCACCGAGAACAAGGAGCUCCUGGUGCUUGACCCCGAGGCCUUCACCAUUUUAGCCAAGAUGAGCCUUCCCAGCGUCCCCGUCUUCCUAGAGGUUUCUGGCCAGUUUGAUGUUGAGUUCCGGCUUGCCGCGGCCUGCCGCAAUGGAAACAUCUAUAUUCUGAGAAGGUAGCCACAUCCGUGGUCUCCGGGGCCGGGAGGAACAUCUCAGAAAACUGGUGGCUUCAGAGGCUUGCAAGAUGAGAGUGGGCUUUAAGGCUGGAAUUUGGAAAUGCAAAGAGCUGAGAACUUCAUAAAGGAGGCUGAGCCCACAAACACAGGGGAGGAUACCUGGAGGCUUGUGAGAUAGGGGCUGGCACAGUGAGAGACUAGGCUGGGUGGCUAUAGUACAGGAGUGAUCAGAAAUGAGAGGACAGGCUGGGCGCUGUGGCUCACGCCUGUAAUCCCAGCACUUUGGGAGGCCGAGGCAAGCGGAUCACCUGAGGUCAGGAGUUCAAGACCAGCCUGGCCAACAUGGUGAAACCCCGUCUCUACUAAAAAUACAAAAUUAGCUGGGCAUGGUGGCGCAUGCCUCUAGCCCCAGCUACUCGGGAGGCUAAGGUAGGAGAAUCGCUUGAACCCAGGAGGCGGAGGUUGCAGUGAGCCAAGAUCACACCACUGCACUCCAGCCUGGGUAACGGAGCGAGACUCCGUCUC